Erinaceus europaeus (western European hedgehog) is the source of this 122-nucleotide small nucleolar RNA. Its record names the gene SNORA70. It matches the Rfam family "Small nucleolar RNA SNORA70". From Rfam's summary of the family: snoRNA U70 seems to be exclusive to mammals and is a member of the H/ACA class of snoRNA which contain H (ANANNA) and ACA box motifs. H/ACA box snoRNAs are involved in the conversion of uridines to pseudouridines (5-ribosyluracil) a constituent of structural RNAs (transfer, ribosomal, small nuclear, and small nucleolar). Lineage: Eukaryota; Metazoa; Chordata; Mammalia; Eulipotyphla; Erinaceidae. The record is from Ensembl.
ACAGGUGCAAAUAACCCCAAGUUUUCCCCCAUGGGACCUAAUGACUGCAGAGAGCGGCCUCCUUAGUAGUGUGGGCAGUCUGUUGCAUUUACAGGUUCUCCUGGAGGACCUGGGAGAAAACG